UUAUAAACCAUGGAUCUAUAGAUUAUUUACAAAAAAAUAAAUAAUCCAGGGAUGGUUUAUAAACCAUGAAUAGAUUAUUUAUAAACAAUCCAUAGAUUGUUUGCACGAGCCAAAUGUAAAAAAAAUAUGGAGCCCCCCCAAAUGUAAAAUAUAGAGCUGGCUACAGGAAGAAGCAUGGGUACGAUUUUGUGUGUUCCGGAGGGAAGGGCGACAAGCAAUCAUGCUUCAGUCUACUUUAGUUGCCAUAUUAAAAAGCAAAGUAAACUGUGUAAUAUUCCUCAGUAUUUGCUGAUGGCAAACCAGCAGUAUUUGCUGAUGGCAAACCAGCAUUAAAUGGCGAUGAGAGCGAUAUAGUCCACGGCGAUGAGAGACUGAUGGCGAAAGACGAGAUUGAUGGCAAAAGUUUGGCAAGAAGGUAUUAAAACAUAUAUCAGUGAUAUACGAUAUAUACAACUCCUUUGUCUUCAUUCCCUGUUCCCUGACCCUGUUGUCUGGCAAAUGAAUCAAAGGUUCAACAGAUUUUCUAGCUGCAAUUAGAGUUAACUUUUCUUUGUUGGUACUGGUGCUUC
Molecule: non-coding RNA, 569 nt
Organism: Paramuricea clavata
Lineage: Eukaryota; Metazoa; Cnidaria; Anthozoa; Malacalcyonacea; Plexauridae
Source: the annotation of a GenBank genome assembly